GACAGAGGGUGCAAGCGUUGUUCGGAAUCACUGGGCGUAAAGCGCAUGUAGGCGGCGGAGUAUGUCCGACGUGAAAGCCCCCGGCUCAACUGGGGAAGUGCAUCGGAAACUACUUCGCUCGAGUGCGAGAGAGGGUGGCGGAAUUCCCAGAGUAGAGGUGAAAUUCGUAGAUACUGGGAGGAACACCUGCGGCGAAGGCGGCCACCUGGCUCGUAACUGACGCUGAGAUGCGAAAGCGUGGGUAGCAAAC
RNAcentral lists this ribosomal RNA (250 nucleotides) under uncultured bacterium. RNAcentral's name for it is "partial 16S ribosomal RNA". It matches the Rfam family "Bacterial small subunit ribosomal RNA", at positions 524 to 773 of the family's 1533-position model. The record is from RNAcentral.